This 68-nucleotide transfer RNA is filed under the name Neritina violacea. Its description in RNAcentral is "tRNA-Val". The record is from RNAcentral. RNAcentral also lists the same sequence under 1 other name. Lineage: Eukaryota; Metazoa; Mollusca; Gastropoda; Cycloneritida; Neritidae.
UGAGAUAUAGUAUAACACAAUAUAACUCACUUACACUGAGUUGAUGGUUAAAUAUUAACCUAUCUCAA